CUUAGAGCACCUCCCUUGGUAGUAGAUGUGAGGUAUGGUCCCAUACAAGGCUUGUAUGUUCACUAAGGAUGUAGAUACUGAAUGAAUCCAUGUUUGGUCACCAUCCUAAAAACAAACAAACAAACA
Molecule: long non-coding RNA, 126 nt
Organism: Strongylocentrotus purpuratus (purple sea urchin)
Lineage: Eukaryota; Metazoa; Echinodermata; Echinoidea; Camarodonta; Strongylocentrotidae
Exons: 2
Source: RefSeq, a predicted model, not a curated record